GCCGAUGUAGCUCAGUCGGUAGAGCGCAUCCUUGGUAAGGAUGAGGUCACCAGUUCAACCCUGGUCAUCGGCUCCA
RNAcentral lists this transfer RNA (76 nucleotides) under Gemmatimonadota bacterium. RNAcentral's name for it is "Gemmatimonadetes bacterium tRNA-Thr". It matches the Rfam family "tRNA". From Rfam's summary of the family: Transfer RNA (tRNA) molecules are approximately 80 nucleotides in length. Their secondary structure includes four short double-helical elements and three loops (D, anti-codon, and T loops). Further hydrogen bonds mediate the characteristic L-shaped molecular structure. tRNAs have two regions of fundamental functional importance: the anti-codon, which is responsible for specific mRNA codon recognition, and the 3' end, to which the tRNAs corresponding amino acid is attached (by aminoacyl-tRNA synthetases). tRNAs cope with the degeneracy of the genetic code in two manners: having more than one tRNA (with a specific anti-codon) for a particular amino acid; and 'wobble' base-pairing, i.e. permitting non-standard base-pairing at the 3rd anti-codon position. The record is from RNAcentral. RNAcentral also lists the same sequence under 2 other names. Lineage: Bacteria; Pseudomonadati; Gemmatimonadota.